Long non-coding RNA from Nematostella vectensis (starlet sea anemone), 306 nucleotides. RefSeq lists it as uncharacterized. The record is from RefSeq and is a predicted model, not a curated record. The transcript has 2 exons. NCBI's taxonomy places the organism in Eukaryota, Metazoa, Cnidaria, Anthozoa, Actiniaria, Edwardsiidae.
UAUUAUCCUGUUUAAAAGAAAGUUUAAACACGGAUCUGCGGUAUAAAAGGCGCAUCUAGACUUCGUCGAGUUCAACGAAUCGUAACAAAACAAAAUGAAAAAAAGGCCCACGUGCUCAAAUAUCAUACAAAAACGUUGCACUCACUCCGUGACGAACGAUGCGAGACUUCCAGCUACGACAGAAAACAAAGGAAUCCCAACAGCUCCGUACAGCAUGCAGAACACGCGGCCCUUGAUGGUCAACGGUGCUAUGUUACCAUACCCUACAUAUACAAGAUAGGAAAUGUAAAUAAAAUUGUUCAGAGU